AUUGAACGCUGGCGGCAGGCCUAACACAUGCAAGUCGAGCGGGGACUUCGGUCCUAGCGGCGAACGGGUGAGUAAUGCUUGGGAAUCUGCCCAGUAGUGGGGGAUAACGUCCCGAAAGGGACGCUAAUACCGCAUACGUCCUACGGGAGAAAGAGGGUGAUCUUCGGACCUCUCGCUAUUGGAUGAGCCCAAGUCGGAUUAGCUAGUUGGUAGGGUAAUGGCCUACCAAGGCGACGAUCCGUAGCUGGUCUGAGAGGAUGAUCAGCCACACUGGAACUGAGACACGGUCCAGACUCCUACGGGAGGCAGCAGUGGGGAAUAUUGGACAAUGGGCGAAAGCCUGAUCCAGCCAUGCCGCGUGUGUGAAGAAGGCCUUCGGGUUGUAAAGCACUUUAAGCGGGGAGGAAGGUUCGCGGCCUAAUACGUCGCGGAAUUGACGUUACCCGCAGAAUAAGCACCGGCUAACUCUGUG
This 472-nucleotide ribosomal RNA is filed under the name uncultured bacterium. Its description in RNAcentral is "partial 16S ribosomal RNA". It matches the Rfam family "Bacterial small subunit ribosomal RNA", at positions 30 to 507 of the family's 1533-position model. The record is from RNAcentral.